This 550-nucleotide ribosomal RNA is filed under the name uncultured dinoflagellate. Its description in RNAcentral is "bacterial SSU rRNA". It matches the Rfam family "Eukaryotic small subunit ribosomal RNA", at positions 506 to 1058 of the family's 1831-position model. Lineage: Eukaryota; Dinophyceae. The record is from RNAcentral.
UAAUUGGAAUGAGUAGAAUUUAAAUCCCUUUUCGAGUAUCAAUUGGAGGGCAAGUCUGGUGCCAGCAGCCGCGGUAAUUCCAGCUCCAAUAGUGUAUAUUAAAGUUGCUGCGGUUAAAAUGCUCGUAGUUUAACAUCUGCCGAGGGCGACUGGUCCACCCGCGGGGUGAGUAUAUUGUUUGGUCUUGGCAUAAUUUUGAAGCGUGCCACUGUACUUGGCUGUACCGUGUGUGCGAAUCUUGCAAAAUACUUUGAGGAAAUUAGAGUGUUUCCAGCAUGCAUAUGCACUGAACACAUUAGCAUGGAAUAUUGAAUUCGGAUCGCCGCUGUAUUCAAUUGGUUUUUAACGCUGCGGUAAUGACUGGUAGGAAUAAUUGGUGGCAUUCGUAUUCAAUAGUCAGAGGUGAAAUUCUUGGAUUUAUUAAAGACGAGCUGCUGCGAAAGCAUUUGCCAAUUAUGUUUUCAUUGAUCAAGAACUAAAGUUAGGGGAUCGAAGACGAUCAGAUACCGUCCUAGUCCUAACAUUAAACAAUGCCGACUAGGAAUUGAAG